This is a non-coding RNA of Cinara cedri, 349 nucleotides long. The record is from the annotation of a GenBank genome assembly. Lineage: Eukaryota; Metazoa; Arthropoda; Insecta; Hemiptera; Aphididae.
AAACCAUUUCAAUCAAAUAUGAAUAUUACAAUACUCAUUAUCUUGUGCUGUCGAAUAUAACUUACAGAAUAAAGAAAAUAAUAGUAUUCUUUGUUAAUGAAAUAGUGAGAAUUAUCACUGAUCCAGUUAUAUAACAACGGCCUGGGACGCUAAUUUAGGAGGAAAUUCAUGUAGAUCUAGAAUUAUUCAGAGUAAUGCAGAUUUUGUGAAAGCACAGAAAAUCUAAUUGUUUGCACAUUUGGACAUAUAUGUGAUGAGAAAAUUGGAAAUUUGGGGACGAUGAGAAAUUGUGAUGUUAGGUGGAUAGAGGAAUUUAAACAAAGAUUAAUAAUUACUAACGAUAAACGAU